This 485-nucleotide ribosomal RNA is filed under the name uncultured bacterium. Its description in RNAcentral is "bacterial SSU rRNA". It matches the Rfam family "Bacterial small subunit ribosomal RNA", at positions 28 to 524 of the family's 1533-position model. The record is from RNAcentral.
GAUGAACGCUAGCGGCAGGCCUAAUACAUGCAAGUCAAGGGGAUAGCAAUAUCACCGGCGGACGGGUGCGUAACGCGUACACAACGUGCCCAAGGGCGGAGGAAAGCGGCGGGAAACUGCCGGUAAUACUCCAUGGUGUUGUUGAGUGGCAUCACUUAACAACUAAAGUACAAGCGCCCUUGGAUCGGUGUGCGUUCGAUUAGCUAGUUGGCGGGGUAACGGCCCACCAAGGCUUCGAUCGAUAGGGGGUGUGAGAGCAUGACCCCCCACACGGGUACUGAGACACGGACCCGACUCCUACGGGAGGCAGCAGUAAGGAAUAUUGGACAAUGGGCGGAAGCCUGAUCCAGCCAUGCCGCGUGAAGGACGAAGGCGCUCAGCGUUGUAAACUUCUUUUGGAUGGGAACAAUAACUCCGACUUGUCGGAACUUGAGGGUACCAUCAGAAUAAGCACCGGCUAACUCCGUGCCAGCAGCCGCGGUAAA